This 587-nucleotide ribosomal RNA is filed under the name uncultured bacterium. RNAcentral's name for it is "partial 16S ribosomal RNA". It matches the Rfam family "Bacterial small subunit ribosomal RNA", at positions 355 to 1375 of the family's 1533-position model. The record is from RNAcentral.
UGGGGAAUCUUCCGCAAUGGACGAAAGUCUGACGGAGCAACGCCGCGUGAGUGAAGAAGGUUUUCGGAUCGUAAAACUCUGUCUUUUGGGGCGAACGUGAGUAUGGUGAACAAUCAUAGUCAGUGACGGUACCAAAGGAGGAAGCCACGGCUAACUACGUGCCAGCAGCCGCGGUAAUACGUAGGUGGCAAGCGUUGUCCGGAAUUAUUGGGCGUAAAGAGCGCGUAGGCGGGAUAGUCAGUCUGUUGUAAAGUGCGGGGCUCAACCCCGUGAUGGCAAUGGAAACAGCUAUUCUUGAGUGCAGGAGAGGAAAGUGGAAUUCCCAGUGUAGCGGUGAAAUGCGUAGAUAUUGGGAGGAACACCAGUGGCGAAGGCGACUUUCUGGACUGUGUCUGACGCUGAGGCGCGAAAGCCAGGGGAGCGAACGGGAUUAGAUACCCCGGUAGUCCUGGCCGUAAACGAUGGGUACUAGGUGUGGGAGGUAUCGACCCCUUCCGUGCCGGAGUUAACGCAAUAAGUACCCCGCCUGGGGAGUACGGUCGCAAGACUGAAACUCAAAGGAAUUGACGGGGUCAUAGCUGUUUCCU